Molecule: ribosomal RNA, 256 nt
Filed under: uncultured bacterium
Lineage: Bacteria
Description: partial 16S ribosomal RNA
Rfam family: Bacterial small subunit ribosomal RNA
Source: RNAcentral
UACGAAGGGGGCUAGCGUUUGUUCGGAAUUACUGGGCGUAAAGCGUGCGCAGGCGGUUUGCUAAGACAGGUGUGAAAUCCCCGGGCUUAACCUGGGAACUGCGCUUGUAACUGGCGAGCUUGAGUGUGGCAGAGGGGGGUGGAAUUCCACGUGUAGCAGUGAAAUGCGUAGAGAUGUGGAGGAACACCGAUGGCGAAGGCAGCCCCCCUGGGCUAACACUGACGCUCGAUGCACGAAAGCGUGGGGAGCAAACAGG